CGUUCUGUGGCGUAGUUGGUUAACGUGCUCGGUCUAGCAUAUUGGGAGUCGUGGGAUCGAAGCCCACCUGAAUGA
Aedes aegypti (yellow fever mosquito) is the source of this 75-nucleotide non-coding RNA. The record is from Rfam. Lineage: Eukaryota; Metazoa; Arthropoda; Insecta; Diptera; Culicidae.